AGUUUCUUGAGAUGUUUCAUCGUACAGCCCCACAAGCCAUUGUAUGAACCAUGGUGCCAAACCCUGGAAUGGAGGCAGGGAACUCAUUCAACAGACUUUGCUACAGACAACACAAAAUGUCAGAACAAUUUCUGCCUUUGAGCAUUCAAAAGGUUUUCAAGGUGCAGCCUUAUGAAGAGUAUGUAACAGCAUCACCCAGAUGGAGAGCAAUUAAGGACUACAGAAGGAGCAACAGUUGCAUAGGUUUGUUUGUUUGAUUAAAAAGAAACAAACAUAAUAAUCACAAUACUGAACUUGCAUCAGAAUGGAUGUCCAUCUUUAUAAAACUUCUCCACUCAGUUACAUUGAUGAGACCUUGUAUGGAACCUGCAAACACAAACCUCUAUGAAUACGCCUGCCAGGAUUAAAG
Molecule: long non-coding RNA, 409 nt
Organism: Colius striatus (speckled mousebird)
Lineage: Eukaryota; Metazoa; Chordata; Aves; Coliiformes; Coliidae
Exons: 3
Source: RefSeq, a predicted model, not a curated record